GAUGAACGCUGGCGGCGUGCCUAAUACAUGCAAGUCGAGCGAACAGAUAAGGAGCUUGCUCCUUUGACGUUAGCGGCGGACGGGUGAGUAACACGUGGGUAACCUACCUAUAAGACUGGAAUAACUCCGGGAAACCGGGGCUAAUGCCGGAUAACAUUUAGAACCGCAUGGUUCUAAAGUGAAAGAUGGUUUUGCUAUCACUUAUAGAUGGACCCGCGCCGUAUUAGCUAGUUGGUAAGGUAACGGCUUACCAAGGCAACGAUACGUAGCCGACCUGAGAGGGUGAUAGGCCACACGGGAACUGAGACACGGUCCAGACUCCUACGGGAGGCAGCAGUAGGGAAUGUGCCGCAAUAGGCGAAAGCCUGACGGAGCAACGCCGCGUGAGUGAUGAAGGUGUUCGGAUCGUAAAACUCUGUUAUUAGGGAAGAACAAAUGUGUAAGUAACUGUGCACGUCUUGACGGUACCUAAUCAGAAAGCCACGGCUAACUACGUG
Molecule: ribosomal RNA, 497 nt
Filed under: uncultured bacterium
Lineage: Bacteria
Description: partial 16S ribosomal RNA
Rfam family: Bacterial small subunit ribosomal RNA
Source: RNAcentral